Molecule: non-coding RNA, 108 nt
Organism: Acanthosepion pharaonis
Lineage: Eukaryota; Metazoa; Mollusca; Cephalopoda; Sepiida; Sepiidae
Source: the annotation of a GenBank genome assembly
UCAUCUCAUGCUGAAACACCAGUUCCUGUAUGAUCACAUAAGUUAAGCAAUGUCGAUCUAGGUUAGUACCUAGAUGGGUGACUGCUUGUGAAUACCAGGUGCUGUAAG